CCCUUAGAUGUUCUGGGCUGCACGCGCGCUACACUGAUGCGCUCAACAAGUUUAUGACCUUGCCCGGAAGGGUUGGGUAAUCUUCUUAGCACGCAUCGUGAUGGGGAUAGAUUAUUGCAAUUAUUAAUCUUCAACGAGGAAUUCCUAGUAAGCGCGAGUCAUCAGCUCGUGCUGAUUACGUCCCUGCCCUUUGUACACACCGCCCGUCGCUCCUACCGAUUGAGUGUGUUGGUGAGGAGUUUGGAUUGGCCUCGGAAGGUGGUUCGCCACCGUCCGUAGCUGAGAAGUUCUCCAAACCGCCCCACUUAGAGGAAGGAGAAGUCGUAACA
RNAcentral lists this ribosomal RNA (329 nucleotides) under uncultured eukaryote. Its description in RNAcentral is "partial 18S ribosomal RNA". It matches the Rfam family "Eukaryotic small subunit ribosomal RNA", at positions 1470 to 1796 of the family's 1831-position model. The record is from RNAcentral.